RNAcentral lists this ribosomal RNA (694 nucleotides) under Salmonella enterica subsp. enterica. RNAcentral describes it as "partial 23S ribosomal RNA". It matches the Rfam family "Bacterial large subunit ribosomal RNA", at positions 2164 to 2852 of the family's 2925-position model. Lineage: Bacteria; Pseudomonadati; Pseudomonadota; Gammaproteobacteria; Enterobacterales; Enterobacteriaceae. The record is from RNAcentral.
GUGGACGCCAGUCUGCAUGGAGCCGACCUUGAAAUACCACCCUUUAAUGUUUGAUGUUCUAACGUGGACCCGUAAUCCGGGUUGCGGACAGUGUCUGGUGGGUAGUUUGACUGGGGCGGUCUCCUCCUAAAGAGUAACGGAGGAGCACGAAGGUUGGCUAAUCCUGGUCGGACAUCAGGAGGUUAGUGCAAUGGCAUAAGCCAGCUUGACUGCGAGCGUGACGGCGCGAGCAGGUGCGAAAGCAGGUCAUAGUGAUCCGGUGGUUCUGAAUGGAAGGGCCAUCGCUCAACGGAUAAAAGGUACUCCGGGGAUAACAGGCUGAUACCGCCCAAGAGUUCAUAUCGACGGCGGUGUUUGGCACCUCGAUGUCGGCUCAUCACAUCCUGGGGCUGAAGUAGGUCCCAAGGGUAUGGCUGUUCGCCAUUUAAAGUGGUACGCGAGCUGGGUUUAGAACGUCGUGAGACAGUUCGGUCCCUAUCUGCCGUGGGCGCUGGAGAACUGAGGGGGGCUGCUCCUAGUACGAGAGGACCGGAGUGGACGCAUCACUGGUGUUCGGGUUGUCAUGCCAAUGGCACUGCCCGGUAGCUAAAUGCGGAAGAGAUAAGUGCUGAAAGCAUCUAAGCACGAAACUUGCCCCGAGAUGAGUUCUCCCUGAGACUUUAGGUCUCCUGAAGGAACGUUGAAGACGACGACG